Molecule: microRNA precursor, 103 nt
Filed under: Marmota monax (woodchuck)
Lineage: Eukaryota; Metazoa; Chordata; Mammalia; Rodentia; Sciuridae
Source: RNAcentral
AGUGGGAUAGCUAGGUCAAAUGGUGGUUCCAUUCCAAGUUUUCUGAGAAAUUUUUAUACUGCUUUCCAAAGUGAUUGCACCAAUUUGCAAUCUCAACAGCCAU